Molecule: ribosomal RNA, 325 nt
Filed under: Macrolepiota zeyheri
Lineage: Eukaryota; Fungi; Basidiomycota; Agaricomycetes; Agaricales; Agaricaceae
Description: eukaryotic LSU rRNA
Rfam family: 5.8S ribosomal RNA (bases 1-70)
Source: RNAcentral
UUCUUCAUCGAAUCUUUGAACGCACCUUGCGCUCCUUGGUAUUCCGAGGAGCAUGCCUGUUUGAGUGUCAUUAAAUUCUCAACCCCUCUAACUUUUGUUGGAAGGGGCUUGGAUAUGGAGGUUUGCUGGCCCUUUGUUAAAGAAGGUCAGCUCCUCUGAAAUGCAUUAGCGGAACCGUUUGCGAUCCGUCACAGGUGUGAUAAUUAUCUACGCCGUGUAUAGUCGCUCUCUGUCUGUUCAGCUUCUAAUCGUCUUCAUGGACAAUUCUAUUGAAUAUUUGACCUCAAAUCAGGUAGGACUACCCGCUGAACUUAAGCAUAUCAAU